GACGAACGCUGGCGGCGUGCCUAAUACAUGCAAGUCGAGCGGACUGAUUAAGAGCUUGCUCUUAUGACGUUAGCGGCGGACGGGUGAGUAACACGUGGGCAACCUGCCCUGUAGACCGGGAUAACACCGAGAAAUCGGUGCUAAUACCGGGUAAUAUCUGAGAUCACAUGAUCUUAGGUUAAAAGAUGGCUCCGGCUAUCACUACAGGAUGGGCCCGCUGCGCAUUAGCUAGUUGGUAAGGGAAUGGCUUACCAAGGCGACGAUGCGUAGCGGACCUGAGAGGGGGAUCGGCCCCACUGGGACUGAGACACGGCCCCGACUCCUACGGGAGACGGCCGAGGGGAAUCUCCCGGAAAGGACGAGAGUCUGACGGAGCAACGCCGCGUGAGUGAUGAAGGGUUUCGGCUCGUGAAGCGCUGUUGUUAGGGAAGAAACAGUACCGAACGAACUAGGUCGGUACCUUGACGGUACCUAACCAGAAAGCCACGGCUAACUACGUG
This 500-nucleotide ribosomal RNA is filed under the name uncultured bacterium. RNAcentral's name for it is "partial 16S ribosomal RNA". It matches the Rfam family "Bacterial small subunit ribosomal RNA", at positions 28 to 507 of the family's 1533-position model. The record is from RNAcentral.